RNAcentral lists this ribosomal RNA (460 nucleotides) under uncultured bacterium. RNAcentral's name for it is "partial 16S ribosomal RNA". It matches the Rfam family "Bacterial small subunit ribosomal RNA", at positions 338 to 795 of the family's 1533-position model. The record is from RNAcentral.
CCUACGGGAGGCAGCAGUGAGGAAUAUUGGUCAAUGGACGAGAGUCUGAACCAGCCAAGUAGCGUGAAGGAUGACUGCCCUAUGGGUUGUAAACUUCUUUUAUAUGGGAAUAAAAUGUUCCACGUGUGGGGUUUUGUAUGUACCUUAUGAAUAAGGAUCGGCUAACUCCGUGCCAGCAGCCGCGGUAAUACGGAGGAUCCGAGCGUUAUCCGGAUUUAUUGGGUUUAAAGGGAGCGUAGAUGGGUUGUUAAGUCAGUUGUGAAAGUUUGCGGCUCAACCGUAAAAUUGCAGUUGAUACUGGCAGGCUUGAGUAUAGUUGAGGUAGGCGGAAUGCGUGGUGUAGCGGUGAAAUGCUUAGAUAUCACGAAGAACUCCGAUUGCGAAGGCAGCUUACUAAGCUAUCACUGACAUUGAUGCACGAAAGUGUGGGGAUCAAACAGGAUUAGAUACCCGGGUAGUC